RNAcentral lists this ribosomal RNA (579 nucleotides) under uncultured bacterium. RNAcentral's name for it is "bacterial SSU rRNA". It matches the Rfam family "Bacterial small subunit ribosomal RNA", at positions 163 to 774 of the family's 1533-position model. The record is from RNAcentral.
CUAAUACCGCAUAACACUUACGAGUCAAAGCAGCAAUGCGCUUGGAGAGGAGUUCGCGGCCGAUUAGUUAGUUGGCAGGGUAAUGGCCUACCAAGACGAUGAUCGGUAUCCGGCCUGAGAGGGCGCACGGACACACUGGAACUGAAACACGGUCCAGACUCCUACGGGAGGCAGCAGUGGGGAAUUUUGCGCAAUGGGGGAAACCCUGACGCAGCAACGCCGCGUGGAGGAUGAAAUCCCUUGGGAUGUAAACUCCUUUCGAUGGGGAAGAUUAUGACGGUACCCAUAGAAGAAGCCCCGGCUAACUUCGUGCCAGCAGCCGCGGUAAUACGAGGGGGGCAAGCGUUGUUCGGAAUUAUUGGGCGUAAAGGGUGCGUAGGCGGUUUGACAAGUCUGAUGUGAAAUCUAUGGGCUCAACCCAUAGUCUGCAUCGGAAACUGUCGGGCUUGAGUAUGGGAGAGGUGAGUGGAAUUUCCGGUGUAGCGGUGAAAUGCGUAGAUAUCGGAAGGAACACCUGUGGCGAAAGCGGCUCACUGGACCAUUACUGACGCUGAGGCACGAAAGCUAGGGGAGCAAACA